AUACAGUCUCCCUAAUACAAUAAUAAUGCACCAUGUAAGGUAUAUACUUGGUUCUAAGGUCCAGUUUCUUUUAAAAGCACAUUCAAUAUAUACCUUUCAAGUUUGCCUCAACGUUUGCAGUGCAGCUUCUCUCUGUAUGAAUACCCAUCUGUUUCCAAGUACUUAGUAAGUGAUCCUUCUGUUGAUUGUGACAUCACAAGAUUCCCGACUGUGACAUCACAACAUUCUGAGCUGAG
Pelobates cultripes (western spadefoot toad) is the source of this 236-nucleotide non-coding RNA. The record is from the annotation of a GenBank genome assembly. NCBI's taxonomy places the organism in Eukaryota, Metazoa, Chordata, Amphibia, Anura, Pelobatidae.